AAAAACACGGAUAGAAGAAAAAAAAAUCGUAUUGGAAAAAUGAAACAGAGCAAAAGUUACAAUCGCGCCGUAAGCCGUAAGGUGUGUCCCUGUGUCACUUGUGUCAGGUGAACUAGGCCAGAGCGCCUUCAUUUCUGGCGCACGCAACAUGGACAUUCAAAGAGUGUGAGUAGUUACAUCUAGGCGUUGGCGUCGACGUUUGACGUUGUGCGCAAUUUUUGAUACCAAACCGAGUGCUUAAUACAUUAAAAAUGCCGCAGGAGGCUGGAUUUCGAAAAAAAAACUUAGGAGUAAUUCCCUGGAUCCUCUCUUUUCUCCAAUUAGGUACUUGUUUGAGACCGUAUUUCAAUGAAAUGAGGGACGUCUCAAUGAUUAAAUAAUCAGUAUUUGCCCAACCCCCGGAGGCUGCUCCGCCUGACAUCCAAGCAACCCAACCCUCGGGGUAGUAGAAUGUCUCAUCAGUGGCUGACAAGAGUGAGUAACGCUGCCGGUCUUCGAAUACAGUGUUUAGUUGUUUUAGAUAUACCAACUAUGAAAGUUGCGACACUCGCGUUCAUACUACCGUCUAACGUGGCAUUUUUGCUAGGUACACCCUCUGGAAGGAAUCCGGACUCUUCACAUGUAUAGGUGUGAGAUCGGACUGGGAGGAUGCUGGACGCGGUGGUGGGGUCGAGUGACUCCGUCACUCUUCACCGUCUCACGUUGCGCGGGAAGAAGUGGAAAUACCGCGGCGAGGGCAACGCCAACCUUGUCAUCGCACUACCCUCGGAUCGACUGAUCAUCAGAAUGCGGAAACGUGAGAAGGGGGCACCAGUGACGGCGGAAGAGGAGCUGGCCGAGCUGAAGAAAAUGUGGCGAGAAGUGGUGUUCUGCUGCAAGAUGAUGAUUCCGCUUCUGGGGCGGGCUUACAUCCAACCGCCCGUCCCUGCGUACAUGGAUAAAAGCGAGAUCAAGGAAUUGGAAGAGGCUCUCAUAUCCCAACGCCCUGCAUCAAGACACCACAAAGGAAUCAAAUUCAGUCACGUGACAAUUUAUCCAGACUACGCCUUUCUGCCGAUUUUCCUCUCGGAACGGAACCAGGCUGUAACGUACCCCAAACUCAUAUCCGAGAAUCUCCACGACAACAUGGCCAAGCCUCGGUCGGAAUACUCCCGCAGCACAUCUUUCCAUGACCCCGUUUUUGACGAGAACAAAGAGGCCGUCAAAACCCUCCUCAAAAUCUCCUCCCUCUAUACCCUCCACUUCGAUAGUCCAAAUUGUGAUAACUUAGAUUUCGUGGAAAACACGAACGAUUCUAGUCAAAUUAGUAGUAGAUCUAUCAGUAUCAAUAGUCGCAGCGGUGGCAGUAACGCUAGCAGUAUUAUUCACAACACCAUGAAGCAGGAUUACUCGUCAUCUCUGGAUUAUCCCUCACCCCUCUCAACGUUCGCGAAGCAAGGUUCGCGGAGGAUUUACUGCUCACAGUUCUCGUCCAAAAGGAGCAUGGACUUUUCGACGUACUGCGUUGAGGUGAAACCAAAGCAAGGAUGGAUUCCAAUGAUCGAUCGAAGAUUCACCAAAUGUGCCUUCUGCCUAAAUCAAUACCUCAAAGUUUUCAAUGGAUCUGUCAAAAUGCAUAGCAACUACUGUCCGUUGGAUUUGUUUUCCGGGAAUCGAUCCAGGAUGAAAUCGCUGUGAAAGCUCUACUCAUAACCCCGCAAAAUAAUUUAAAAAUCUUCAAAGAUGGACAGCUUAUCUACGGAGACGAAACCAAAACAGACGUCAUUGAGAUUUUGAAAUCUUGGCUCGACUCACCAGUGGACUUCAUUGAGCAGGAUGUUGAUUCUCAAAGGUAUUAUCUUUUGCAAUAAGGAACUGCAUUUUUUGGCUCCAUCGUAUAUACCAUUAAUGUCCGUAUGCAAAUAGGUGAUUUCAUGAAUGAUAUUCAAAUAGUAGUUCCUUAUUUCUCAAAGUUAAUUUAUCUUGAACAGCAUUUUUACUUUAUCAGGUCGUUGAUUUUUCUAGAAUGUCUUACUCUUGUGAGUGUUAAGAAGUGUUAAGAAAGUUUUUGAAUUUAUAGUGUUCUUAAAAAGCUUUUAAUGUUUAAUCACGUAUUUCGUUUGACAAAAUCAUGAUUCGCGAUUCCUAUGGACCUGAAGAUAAUGCUUUAAGCGUUCUAAAUGAUCAUUGUCUAACAGAAUUUCAUUCAAGACAAUAUCAGGAUGGAAAUAAAAAGUGAGUUACAUUCUAGAGUCAAUUCAUCUGUCGUGAAUUUUUCAAACUGCCAUAGAUCAGAUAGAGAGCCCCACAAGUCUGUGGGCUGAUUAUUGCAAUUGAUAGACAAAGUAAUAGUCAAAGAAGAUAAUAGAAAAUGGAGCGAUCUAAUUGGUUGAAAUUGAUGGUUCUUAAAGACUGAGAGGGAAAAAGCUGGAAUAACUAUAGGGUCACUCUCUGGUUGCGUUAGUUAGUCUAUUACUUACCUCCUUUGUUCAUUGUAACCACCCGCUUUCACCAAUAGGAUUCCUUUUUUUCUUUUCUCUUCUUUUAGUCAAUCCAGGUUGCCACAGUCAGAGAAUUUAGGGAAAACCAGGAAAUGUCUGGGAAAAUUUGGAACUGUGAAGGAAAAUGACGAAAAUGUCAGGGAAAUAUCAUCAAAUCACCUUCAUUUGCUCUCUUGAGUGGAUUUGACGCUUUGAACAACAAUUUUGCCUGAGACUAUUUCUACCUGUGUCUUUUUAAAAAUCUUGCAUUUGUUUAAUUGUCAGGGAAUUUGAUCAAAAUGUGUUAGGGAAAUCAGGAGAAUGUCAGGGAAUUUAAUUUUCCAAAUUCUGUGGCAACCCUGGUAAACCAUCCAGUUAAUCCCAAAAAAAUUGCAUAGAGAAAAAAAAAGGAGGUGGUCACAUUUCAGGCAUCUUGGAUUUCUUCGAUGACCUAGGUAGGUACAGAUGCUUUUUGUCAUCGAUUUUCUUGAAAAUGGCGUAGAUUCUGGAAAAAAGUAAUUUUAUCUGAAGUGUUUGAAAUUAUAUUUUGAAUUGAACUAAGCAAAAAACGGAUGUUAUGGUCUGUUUUUCAUACUUAGAAUUUCGGAUUUUGCUGGAAUAUCAACGCCAUGUUGUACCUACCUACGCCCUGGGGUAAAUACAUCCUCAUGGUACCAGGGACCACCUUUUUUUUGCUCAAUGAGAAAAUUAUAACUCAAGAUAAUAAAACGUCGUUUUGAGGAACACCUGUUUGAAGUUAUGAACUCGGCAGAAGGACUGCAUCACUCUUCGUGUUACAAAACGUUGCAUAACUUAUUCCAUAAUAAGCAGAUUUUAAAAAACUUGAUCUUUAUCUGCAGCUAAAGAUACUUAGAAUUUGAUGGGGAAAAAACCUGAAAAAAAUUUUUUGGACAAAAAAUGACGCACGGCUCCCUGUAACAUCGGAACCGCAUGUUGUUUAAAAAAAAAGUUCUGUUAAAUUCACGGUUUUCAAUUAUCUGCACAUUAGGUUGAAGGAGAAAUUCAGCUGUCUCAUAAUUGAUGCGCUGACGCGAGAUUUAACAAUGAACGAAAACUGCCCGAAAGUCAUCGAAGAUGAGGAUCCCACGGGAUCAAAAGAGAACAUCCCUGAGAGGAUCCCGCCAAAUCUCAUAGCGGCAGCUAAAGAGCUGUUACCCAAAGAGGCUUGCGAUUGGUCUGCAAAAGACUUACCGUCCAACUGUAUCCUCAAGCGAAUUCUAGACGUACAAAAGCUGGAGAAGUAUGGAGCUGAUGCUAUCUAUGAUAUUUACAG
This 3753-nucleotide long non-coding RNA is filed under the name Bemisia tabaci. RNAcentral describes it as "lncRNA ENSSSA2NGG010031". Lineage: Eukaryota; Metazoa; Arthropoda; Insecta; Hemiptera; Aleyrodidae. The record is from RNAcentral.